This 567-nucleotide long non-coding RNA is filed under the name Elaeis guineensis (African oil palm). Its description in RNAcentral is "long non-coding RNA (EGUI_LNC077547)". The record is from RNAcentral. Lineage: Eukaryota; Viridiplantae; Streptophyta; Magnoliopsida; Arecales; Arecaceae.
AUUAGUCUAUCAGAUGUGCAUGGAUUGCUUUGUCAUGCUUGCAUAUCUUUGAAGUGAUUAUCAAAAAGAAAAAAAUGUUGGAGCUAUUCAUUUCAUUGAGGCCUGAUAUUAAUAGGUAACAACAACAACCCUAGUUUGGAUGAUGGUUAACUUUGUCAUAGUGGUGAAAGUAUCAUUCUUGUCAGUCUCUUAAAAUUGUGACCUUAAUUAACUACUUUUGUUGAACAUUGAACAAUUAUGUUAGGCAGUCUACUCUAUGUCUGAUGAUAAAGCCUUGGGUCAAAUGCGGAUUUCCACAUCUAUUCUUCAAGAAAUAUUGACAAGUUAUUGGGAAGGAUGUGUGUUGAGCAGUGAGACAAUUCUUUGUAGCAAAUACAAAGCCUCUGAGUUGGAAAGAGACCUAUUUGGCUUUGACCUUGAAAAGACUGGAUGCCUUGCAACCGCCCCCAUUAUUGCUGUUUCAGUUGGUGUACAACACUGUACAGGAUCAUUGCCAAAAUUCUGGUUGGCAGAAUGUGGCCAAUGUUGGGGGAUCUCAUUAGUUCGGACUAGGAAGCUUUUGGCGAG